RNAcentral lists this ribosomal RNA (431 nucleotides) under uncultured bacterium. Its description in RNAcentral is "bacterial SSU rRNA". It matches the Rfam family "Bacterial small subunit ribosomal RNA", at positions 29 to 507 of the family's 1533-position model. The record is from RNAcentral.
AACGAACGCUGGCGGCAGGCCUAACACAUGCAAGUCGAGCGCACCUUCGGGUGAGCGGCGGACGGGUUAGUAACGCGUGGGAACGUGCCCUUCUCUACGGAAUAGCCUCUGGAAACGGAGAGUAAUACCGUAUACGCCCUUUGGGGGAAAGAUUUAUCGGAGAAGGAUCGGCCCGCGUUAGAUUAGGUAGUUGGUGGGGUAACGGCCUACCAAGCCUACGAUCUAUAGCUGGUUUUAGAGGAUGAUCAGCAACACUGGGACUGAGACACGGCCCAGACUCCUACGGGAGGCAGCAGUGGGGAAUCUUGGACAAUGGGGGCAACCCUGAUCCAGCCAUGCCGCGUGAGUGAAGAAGGCCCUAGGGUCGUAAAGCUCUUUCGCCUGUGAUGAUAAUGACAGUAGCAGGUAAAGAAACCCCGGCUAACUCCGUG